Long non-coding RNA from Oncorhynchus tshawytscha (Chinook salmon), 682 nucleotides. The record is from Ensembl. NCBI's taxonomy places the organism in Eukaryota, Metazoa, Chordata, Actinopteri, Salmoniformes, Salmonidae.
UACAGAGUCAAGGUGGAGGCUAUAUACAGGGGGUACUGGUACAGAGUCAAUGUGUAGGCUAUAUACAGGGGGUACCGGUACAUAGUCAAUGUGGAGGCUAUAUACAGGGGGUACUGGUACAGAGUCAAUGUGGAGGCUGUAUACAGGGGGUACUGGUACAGAGUCAAUGUGGAGGCUAUAUACAGGGGGUACUGGUACAGAGUCAAAGUGUAGGCUAUAUACAGGGGGUACUGGUACAGAGUCAAUGUGGAGGCUAUAUACAGGGCGUACUGGUACAGAGUCAAUGUGUAGGCUAUAUACAGCGGGUACUGGUACAGAGUCAAUGUGUAGGCUAUAUACAGGGGGUACUGGUACAGAGUCAAUGUGGAGGCUAUAUACAGGGCGUACUGGUACAGAGUCAAUGUGGAGGCUAUAUACAGGGGGUACUGGUACAGAGUCAAUGUGGAGGCUACAUACAGGGGAUACGGGUACAGUGUCAAUGUGGAGGCUAUAUACAGGGGGUACUGGUACAUAGUCAAUGUGGAGGCUAUAUACAGGGGGUACCAGUACAGAGUCAAUGUGGAGGCUACAUACAGGGGGUACCGGUACAGAGUCAAUGUGGAGGCUACAUACAGUGGGUACCGGUACAGAGUCAAUGUGGAGGCUACAUACAGGGGGUACUGGUAUAGAGGCAAUGUGCGGG